GGCACGCCUAACACAUGCAAGUCGAACGAAGUAGCAAUACUUAGUGGCAGACGGGUGAGUAACAUGUGGGUAUCUACCCUUUGGCCUGGAAUAACACGAGGAAACUUGUGCUAAUACUGGAUAAGUCUUUACGGAGAAAGCUUUAUGCACCAUUGGAUGAGCCUGCACUUGAUUAGUUAGUUGGUAGGGUAAUGGCCUACCAAGACUGUGAUCAAUAGCUGAUUUGAGAGGAUGAUCAGCCACAUUGGGACUGAGACACGGCCCAAACUCCUACGGGAGGCAGCAGUGGGGAAUCUUGCACAAUGGAGGAAACUCUGAUGCAGCGAUGCCGCGUGAGUGAAGAAGGCCCUUGGGUUGUAAAGCUCUUUCGUCGGGGAAGAAAAUGACUGUACCCGAAUAAGAAGGUCCGGCUAACUUCGUGCCAGCAGCCGCGGUAAUACGAAGGGACCUAGCGUAGUUCGGAAUUACUGGGCUUAAAGAGUUCGUAGGUGGUUGAAAAAGUUGGUGGUGAAAUCCCAGAGCUUAACUCUGGAACUGCCAUCAAAACUUUUCAGCUAGAGUUUGAUAGAGGAAAGCAGAAUUUCUAGUGUAGAGGUGAAAUUCGUAGAUAUUAGAAAGAAUACCAAUUGCGAAGGCAGCUUUCUGGAUCAAUACUGACACUGAGGAACGAAAGCAUGGGUAGCGAAGAGGAUUAGAUACCCUCGUAGUCCAUGCCGUAAACGAUGUGUGUUAGACGUUGGAAAUUUAUUUUCAGUGUCGCAGCGAAAGCGAUAAACACACCGCCUGGGGAG
Molecule: ribosomal RNA, 791 nt
Filed under: uncultured Pelagibacteraceae bacterium
Lineage: Bacteria; Pseudomonadati; Pseudomonadota; Alphaproteobacteria; Candidatus Pelagibacterales; Candidatus Pelagibacteraceae
Description: bacterial SSU rRNA
Rfam family: Bacterial small subunit ribosomal RNA
Source: RNAcentral